RNAcentral lists this unclassified non-coding RNA (1203 nucleotides) under uncultured Neocallimastigales. RNAcentral describes it as "partial contains small subunit ribosomal RNA, internal transcribed spacer 1, 5.8S ribosomal RNA, internal transcribed spacer 2, and large subunit ribosomal RNA". The stretch from base 656 to 1203 matches the Rfam family "Eukaryotic large subunit ribosomal RNA", at positions 1 to 559 of the family's 3401-position model. Lineage: Eukaryota; Fungi; Neocallimastigomycota; Neocallimastigomycetes; Neocallimastigales. The record is from RNAcentral.
AGUAAAGUCGUACAAGGUUUCCGUAGGUGAACCUGCGAAGGAUCAUUAAAAAAUAUCGCUCGAUUGAGAGUGAUUAAUAAUCAUCCUACCUUGUGAAUUGUUGUUUGUAAUAAUUUUUUUGAUUUUAAAAAAAAAAUUAUUUAUGUUUUGUCUAUCCUAAAAUUGGUUUGUUGUGAAAUGAAUCAAAUUUAGGGAAUAGGCUUUCAUAAAUAAGUUUUUUUUAAAGUCUUAAGACCUUUUUUAAAAUUAAACUUUUGUAUUCAUUUGUCUAAAUUUUUUUAAAUAAUUUAAAAACAACUUUUGACAAUGGAUCUCUUGGUUCUCGCAACGAUGAAGAACGCAGCAAAUGCGAUAAGUAAUGUGAAUUGCAGAAUACGUGAAUCAUCAAAUCUUCGAACGCAUAUUGCACUUUUUAGUUUACUAAAAAGUAUGUCUGUUUGAGUAUCAGUAAAUAUUCUCAUAAAACAUUUUUGUUUUAUGGUUAUGAGUGUUUUACAACGAUAAACGAGUUGUUUCACUUUAAAUUCAUUUUAAUUUAAGACCAUUUAUGGUUUUAAUAAAAAUUGGAUAAAAUUUUCCCGUAAAAGGAAUAAACUUUUCAGUUUUUAAUUAUUACCAACAACGGUCCGAUUUAAAGGAGAUUUAUUUAAUAACUUGAUCUCAAUCAGAUAAGAGUACCGCUGAACUUAAGCAUAUCAAUAACGGAGGAAAAGAAACUAACAAGGAUUCCCUUAGUAACGGCGAGUGAAGCGGAAGAGCUCAAAUUUGAAAUCUUCAAGGUUCUACCUUGACGAAUUGUAGUUAAAGAAGUGUUUUCUGUUAGAUGAGUAGCAAAAGUUCCUUGAAUGGACAUCAUAGAGGUGAGAAUCCGUAUUUGUUAUUCAUUCUAGCUUUGUGAUACACUUUCAAAGAGUCGGAUUGUUUGGGAUGCAGUCCAAAUGGUGGUAAAUUUCAUCUAAAGCUAAAUAUUGGCGAGAGACGAUAGCGAACAAGUACCGUGAGGAAAGAUGAAAGAACUUUGAAAAGAGAGUUAAACAGUACGUGAAAUUGUCAAAAGGGAAGCGUUGGACACCAGUGUUGUUUUUCCAAAAAUCAAUUACGAAUGGCUUGAUUUUGUGUUGUAUUGACCUUAUCAGCUUUCUGCACUUUUUUCGAGUCUUUCUUAAUGCACUUUUUGGUUAACAAGUCAACAUCAAUUCUUUU